This 245-nucleotide ribosomal RNA is filed under the name uncultured Akkermansia sp. RNAcentral's name for it is "partial 16S ribosomal RNA". It matches the Rfam family "Bacterial small subunit ribosomal RNA", at positions 524 to 768 of the family's 1533-position model. The record is from RNAcentral. Lineage: Bacteria; Pseudomonadati; Verrucomicrobiota; Verrucomicrobiia; Verrucomicrobiales; Akkermansiaceae.
UACAGAGGUCUCAAGCGUUGUUCGGAAUCACUGGGCGUAAAGCGUGCGUAGGCUGUUUCGUAAGUCGUGUGUGAAAGGCGCGGGCUCAACCCGCGGACGGCACAUGAUACUGCGAGACUAGAGUAAUGGAGGGGGAACCGGAAUUCUCGGUGUAGCAGUGAAAUGCGUAGAUAUCGAGAGGAACACUCGUGGCGAAGGCGGGUUCCUGGACAUUAACUGACGCUGAGGCACGAAGGCCAGGGGAG